AGAGGAUUGUCUGAGUGGUCGAAAGAGGCGGUCUUGAAAACCGUUAGACCGGAAGGUCUCGGGGGUUCGAAUCCCUCAUCCUCUGCCA
This 88-nucleotide transfer RNA is filed under the name bacterium. RNAcentral describes it as "tRNA-Ser". It matches the Rfam family "tRNA". Rfam says of the family: Transfer RNA (tRNA) molecules are approximately 80 nucleotides in length. Their secondary structure includes four short double-helical elements and three loops (D, anti-codon, and T loops). The record is from RNAcentral.